GACGAACGCUGGCGGCGUGCUUAACACAUGCAAGUCGAGCGGUAAGGCCCUUUCGGGGGUACACGAGCGGCGAACGGGUGAGUAAUACGUGGGUGACCUGCCCUCAGCUCUGGGAUAAGCCCGGGAAACUGGGUCUAAUACUGGAUAUGACUCCAUGACGCAUGUUGUGGGGUGGAAAGCCUUGUGCGGCUGAGGAUGGGCCCGCGGCCUAUCAGCUUGUUGGUGGGGNGAUGGCCUACCAAGGCGACGACGGGUAGCCGGCCUGAGAGGGCGACCGGCCACACUGGGACUGAGACACGGCCCAGACUCCUACGGGAGGCAGCAGUGGGGAAUCUUGCGCAAUGGGCGAAAGCCUGACGCAGCGACGCCGCGUGAGGGAUGACGGCCUGGUGUAAC
This 396-nucleotide ribosomal RNA is filed under the name uncultured bacterium. RNAcentral describes it as "bacterial SSU rRNA". It matches the Rfam family "Bacterial small subunit ribosomal RNA", at positions 28 to 429 of the family's 1533-position model. The record is from RNAcentral.